This 1475-nucleotide ribosomal RNA is filed under the name uncultured Alphaproteobacteria bacterium. RNAcentral's name for it is "bacterial SSU rRNA". It matches the Rfam family "Bacterial small subunit ribosomal RNA". The record is from RNAcentral. Lineage: Bacteria; Pseudomonadati; Pseudomonadota; Alphaproteobacteria.
AGAGUUUGAUUAUGGCUCAGAACGAACGCUGGCGGCAGGCCUAAGACAUGCAAGUCGUACGAGAGCGGUCCUUCGGGGCUUAGUAGAGUGGCGAACGGGUUAGUAACGCGUGGGAACAUACACAGCACAGGGGGAUAACCAUUGGAAACGAUGGCUAAUACCGCAUACGCCCUAUGGGGGAAAGAUUUAUCGGUGUUGGAUUGGCCCGCGUUAGAUUAGCUAGUUGGUGGGGUAAUGGCCCACCAAGGCAAUCCGAUUUUAAUAGCCUGGUUCUGAGGAGGAGAUGAUCACGCAACACCUGGAACUCGAGACACGGUCCAGACUCCUACGGGAGGCAGCAGUCGGGCAUAUUGUGCCAUUGGGGCAUCCCUGAACACAGCCAUGCCGCGUGAGUGAAAGAAGGCCCUAGGGUUGUUAAGCUCUUUCAGAUGUGAGGAUGAUGACGAUAGCAUCACAAGAAGCUCCCGGCUAACUUCGUGCCAGCAGCCGCGGUAAUACGAAGGGAGCAAGCCGUUGUUCGGAAUUACUGGGCGUAAAGGGCGUGUAGGCGGAUUACCAAGUUAGGGGUGAAAUCCCGGGGCUCAACCUCGGCACUGCCUUUAAGACUGAUAAUCUAGAGUAUGUGAGGGAAUAAUGGAAUACCUAGUGUAGAGGUGAAAUUCGUAGAUAUUAGGUGGAACACCAGUGGCGAAGGCGAUUAUCUGGCACAUUACUGACGCUGAGGCGCGAAAGCGUGGGGAGCAAACGGGAUUAGAUACCCCGGUAGUCCACGCCGUAAACGAUGUAUACUAGUUUGUCGGGCAUUUGUUCGGUGACGCAGCUAACGCAUUAAGUAUACCGCCUGGGGAGUACGGUCGCAAGAUUAAAACUCAAAGAAAUUGACGGGGACCCGCACAAGCGGUGGAGAAUGUGGUUUAAUUCGAAGCUACGCGAAGAACCUUACCCACCUUUGACUUGGUAGUUCGGGGUAUUGGAGACAAUACCUUUCAGCUCGGCUGGGCUACGCACAGGUGCUGCAUGGCUGUCGUCAGCUCGUGUCGUGAGAUGUUGGGUUAAGUCCCGCAACGAGCGCAACCCUUGUUUUCAGUUACCAUCAUUUAGUUGGGUACUUUGGAAAGACUGCCGGUGAUAAACCGGAGGAAGGCGGGGACGACGUCAAGUCAUCAUGGCCCUUAUAGGUGGGGCUACACACGUGCUACAAUGGCAUUUACAGAGGGUUGCUGCUGUGCAAACAGACGCUAAUCCCAAAAAGAUGUCUCAGUUCGGAUUGUUCUCUGCAACUCGAGAGCAUGAAGUCGGAAUCGCUAGUAAUCGUGGAUCAGCAUGCCACGGUGAAUACGUUCCCGGGUCUUGUACACACCGCCCGUCACACCAUGGGAGUUGGUUUUACCCGAAGCCGGUGCGCUAACCUUUUUUUAGGGGGCAGCCGUCCACGGUAAGAUUGAUGACUGGGGUGAAGUCGUAACAAGGUAACC